RNAcentral lists this long non-coding RNA (712 nucleotides) under Homo sapiens (human). RNAcentral's name for it is "non-protein coding ZNF460-AS1:16". The record is from RNAcentral. Lineage: Eukaryota; Metazoa; Chordata; Mammalia; Primates; Hominidae.
UGGGAACUCACCCAGCGCAUCCGACUGCACGGACAAUGCUGAGGAGACCCCCCUGACUCAAAGGAAAUAGACUGCAGCACUGAUUGGAUGACUUUGGAAUGAAAAAAAGUAGUUUUCCUUUACAAUGAGGCUUGGCCCCCAGGGCGAUGGUGCCACAAGCCAGAUCACUGGGACCACUCAGAGAAAGGGAACACAGAAGCCUGGCAUGCCAGCAAAAAGCAGGGUUUUUGUGAGCAGUGUCUUGCACCAAACUCCUGUCUCCUCCUGUGACUUAGAAUGCCUAACUUCCUGGGAAUGCAGCACAGGUCUCAGCCUCAUUUUGCCCAGCCCCUAUUCAAGACGGAUUUGCUGUGGUUCAAAUGCUUCUGACAAUAUUCCUCAUGGUGAAUGCUGGAUUUUGCAUGCCCGAGGCCCUGGGCCACACUGUAUGUUUGCUUUUUGCAAGGGCUGUAUGGCUAUGACUAGUUAUGUGGACCCUGCAUUCCUAUGUAAAUGACCCUCCAUAAAAACCCCAGAAAUGAAUGCUUGAGUGAACUUCCCUGGCUUGUAUUAUAAUACUGUGAACAUCUUGUCACACAUCUUUGCUGGGGGAAUUAAGUGUGUCCCUAUGUGACCGUAAUGGGAGAUAACACCCAGAGUUUUGUGCCUGCUUUCAUGUGGACUUCAUUCUAUGUGAUUUUUCCCUUUGGUGAUCCUGGUCUAUAUCCUUUUA